RNAcentral lists this ribosomal RNA (253 nucleotides) under uncultured bacterium. RNAcentral's name for it is "partial 16S ribosomal RNA". It matches the Rfam family "Bacterial small subunit ribosomal RNA", at positions 524 to 776 of the family's 1533-position model. The record is from RNAcentral.
UACGUAGGGUGCAGGCGUUAAUCGGAAUUACUGGGCGUAAAGCGUGCGCAGGCGGUUUGCUAAGAGAGAUGUGAAAUCCCCGGGCUUAACCUGGGAACUGCGUUUCUAACUGGCAGGCUUGAGUGUGGCAGAGGGGGGUGGAAUUCCACGUGUAGCGGUGAAAUGCGUAGAUAUGUGGAGGAACACCGAUGGCGAAGGCAGCCCCCUGGGCUAACACUGACGCUCAUGCACGAAAGCGUGGGGAGCAAACAGG